This 37-nucleotide small RNA is filed under the name Acididesulfobacillus acetoxydans. RNAcentral describes it as "CRISPR spacer". The record is from RNAcentral. Lineage: Bacteria; Bacillati; Bacillota; Clostridia; Eubacteriales; Peptococcaceae.
UAUUUCUCGGUAACAGACUUUUCUGUGGCCAAGAUCG